CCCUUAGAUGUUCUGGGCAGCACGCGCGCUACAAUGGUCUUCGCAAACGGAUGCAUUCUCGAAGGAGAAUGCCAAUCUUGGAAUCUAUGCCUUGGUCGGGACAGUUGCUUGCAAUUUUUCGACUCGAACCAGGAAUUCCUUGUAAUCGUGAUUCAUCACAUCACGAUGAAUACGUCCCUGCCCUCUGUACACACCGCCCGUCGCUCCUACCGAUUGAGGAGUUAGGUGAAUUGUUUUGAUCGAUAAGAUUUGACUAUGGUCAACUCUCGUUGUGAAAUUCUGUGAAUCUGACUGUUUAGAGGAAGGAAAAGUCGUAACA
Molecule: ribosomal RNA, 319 nt
Filed under: uncultured eukaryote
Lineage: Eukaryota
Description: partial 18S ribosomal RNA
Rfam family: Eukaryotic small subunit ribosomal RNA
Source: RNAcentral